UUGUUGGGUAGGGGAGCGUUCUGUAAGCCUGUGAAGGUGUGUCGUGAGGCAUGCUGGAGGUAUCAGAAGUGCGAAUGCUGACAUAAGUAACGAUAAAGCGGGUGAAAAGCCCGCUCGCCGGAAGACCAAGGGUUCCUGUCCAACGUUAAUCGGGGCAGGGUGAGUCGACCCCUAAGGCGAGGCCGAAAGGCGUAGUCGAUGGGAAACGGGUUAAUAUUCCCGUACUUGGUGUUACUGCGAAGGGGGGACGGAGAAGGCUAUGUUGGCCGGGCGACGGUUGUCCCGGUUUAAGCGUGUAGGUGUGUGUUCCAGGUAAAUCCGGUUCACUUUAACACUGAGGCGUGACGACGAGGCACUACGGUGCUGAAGCAACAAAUGCCCUGCUUCCAGGAAAAGCCUCUAAGCAUCAGGUAACAUCAAAUCGUACCCCAAACCGACACAGGUGGUCAGGUAGAGAAUACCAAGGCGCUUGAGAGAACUCGGGUGAAGGAACUAGGCAAAAUGGUGCCGUAACUUCGGGAGAAGGCACGCUGACACGUAGGUGAAGUGAUUUACUCAUGGAGCUGAAGUCAGUCGAAGAUACCAGCUGGCUGCAACUGUUUAUUAAAAACACAGCACUGUGCAAACACGAAAGUGGACGUAUACGGUGUGACGCCUGCCCGGUGCCGGAAGGUUAAUUGAUGGGGUCAGCGCAAGCGAAGCUCCUGAUCGAAGCCCCGGUAAACGGCGGCCGUAACUAUAACGGUCCUAAGGUAGCGAAAUUCCUUGUCGGGUAAGUUCCGACCUGCACGAAUGGCGUAAUGAUGGCCAGGCUGUCUCCACCCGAGACUCAGUGAAAUUGAACUCGCUGUGAAGAUGCAGUGUACCCGCGGCAAGACGGAAAGACCCCGUGAACCUUUACUAUAGCUUGACACUGAACAUUGAGCCUUGAUGUGUAGGAUAGGUGGGAGGCUUUGAAGUGUGGACGCCAGUCUGCAUGGAGCCGACCUUGAAAUACCACCCUUUAAUGUUUGAUGUUCUAACGUGGACCCGUUACCCGGGUUGCGGACAGUGUCUGGUGGGUAGUUUGACUGGGGCGGUCUCCUCC
Molecule: ribosomal RNA, 1087 nt
Filed under: Salmonella enterica subsp. enterica serovar Enteritidis
Lineage: Bacteria; Pseudomonadati; Pseudomonadota; Gammaproteobacteria; Enterobacterales; Enterobacteriaceae
Description: partial 23S ribosomal RNA
Rfam family: Bacterial large subunit ribosomal RNA
Source: RNAcentral